Molecule: ribosomal RNA, 1274 nt
Filed under: Sutcliffiella tianshenii
Lineage: Bacteria; Bacillati; Bacillota; Bacilli; Caryophanales; Bacillaceae
Description: partial 23S ribosomal RNA
Rfam family: Bacterial large subunit ribosomal RNA
Source: RNAcentral
UAAGGCUGAGCUGUGACAGCGAGGGAAAUAUAGUACCGAAGUUCCUGAUUUCACACUGCCAAGAAAAGCCUCUAGCGAGGAGUAUGGUGCCCGUACCGCAAACCGACACAGGUAGGCGAGGAGAGAAUCCUAAGGUGAGCGAGAGAACUCUGGUUAAGGAACUCGGCAAAAUGACCCCGUAACUUCGGGAGAAGGGGUGCUCUGUUAGGGUGUUAAAGCCCGAGAGAGCCGCAGUGAAUAGGCCCAGGCGACUGUUUAGCAAAAACACAGGUCUCUGCGAAGCCGUAAGGCGAAGUAUAGGGGCUGACGCCUGCCCGGUGCUGGAAGGUUAAGGGGAGAGGUUAGCGCAAGCGAAGCUUUGAACCGAAGCCCCAGUAAACGGCGGCCGUAACUAUAACGGUCCUAAGGUAGCGAAAUUCCUUGUCGGGUAAGUUCCGACCCGCACGAAAGGCGUAACGAUCUGGGCACUGUCUCAACCAGAGACUCGGUGAAAUUAUAGUACCUGUGAAGAUGCAGGUUACCCGCGACAGGACGGAAAGACCCCGUGGAGCUUUACUGUAGCCUGAUAUUGAAUUUUGGUACAGCUUGUACAGGAUAGGUAGGAGCCUGAGAAGCCGGAGCGCUAGCUUCGGUGGAGGCGUCGGUGGGAUACUACCCUGGCUGUAUUGAAAUUCUAACCCGCAGCCCUUAUCGGGCUGGGAGACAGUGUCAGGUGGGCAGUUUGACUGGGGCGGUCGCCUCCUAAAGAGUAACGGAGGCGCCCAAAGGUUCCCUCAGAAUGGUUGGAAAUCAUUCGCAGAGUGUAAAGGCACAAGGGAGCUUGACUGCGAGACCUACAAGUCGAGCAGGGACGAAAGUCGGGCUUAGUGAUCCGGUGGUUCCGCAUGGAAGGGCCAUCGCUCAACGGAUAAAAGCUACCCCGGGGAUAACAGGCUUAUCUCCCCCAAGAGUCCACAUCGACGGGGAGGUUUGGCACCUCGAUGUCGGCUCAUCGCAUCCUGGGGCUGUAGUCGGUCCCAAGGGUUGGGCUGUUCGCCCAUUAAAGCGGUACGCGAGCUGGGUUCAGAACGUCGUGAGACAGUUCGGUCCCUAUCCGUCGUGGGCGCAGGAAAUUUGAGAGGAGCUGUCCUUAGUACGAGAGGACCGGGAUGGACGCACCGCUGGUGUACCAGUUGUCUUGCCAAAGGCAUAGCUGGGUAGCUACGUGCGGACGGGAUAAGUGCUGAAAGCAUCUAAGCAUGAAGCCCCCCUCAAGAUGAGAUUUCCUUUUGCUU